Long non-coding RNA from Hyla sarda, 643 nucleotides. RefSeq lists it as uncharacterized. The transcript is spliced from 3 exons. Lineage: Eukaryota; Metazoa; Chordata; Amphibia; Anura; Hylidae. The record is from RefSeq and is a predicted model, not a curated record.
CCUUGUUCUGCCUCACUGUUGUGGCAUCUCAGUCUUGGAUGCUGUCCCUCCUCCCUCAGCCCCACCUUCAGAGACAGAGACCACAUGACUCAACUGCCGAGACGGAGACCAUGUGACUAACCUUCAGAGAGGGAGACCAUGUGACUUGCUCUCCUGCCUAGCAUCUCUCACAGGGCCACUAGGAAGAGACGAUAGAGAGGGAGACAGACAUCGCUUCUCCCUCUCCUCUGUACUGCUGCAGCCUAGCAGAGCUAGAGGGGUGGGGGAGGGUUUUGGUCUCUGCACAGCAGUAGGAGGAGAUGAUGAAGCAGGAGGAUGAGCUACUUACUACCAGCCUUCCUGCACGCAGAGAGAGGAGACAGAGCUAGCUUGACUGAAGACAGCACCAUCUCUCCUGAUUAGCACUGAAGAUCCUGGGAAAGCAGCCUGCAUUGAUUGUAUGAAGAGACCCAGUGACAAAGCAGAGUCAUGCAGAAUGAGGGACACCCUCCCUCCAAAGCACAGGAUGGCAAACUAAGACUCUCCUGUAUACGGCAAAGAGAGGACGGUUCAAGCCCCACGCUAUGGUCCGAUAGAAAUCUUUUCUCUCAUCCUUGGACAUCUCAAAAAUUAUUUCAGUUGCAUCUUUAAUACCAUGUGCCUA